Molecule: unclassified non-coding RNA, 2492 nt
Filed under: Monomorium pharaonis (pharaoh ant)
Lineage: Eukaryota; Metazoa; Arthropoda; Insecta; Hymenoptera; Formicidae
Description: uncharacterized LOC105828359, transcript variant X2
Source: RNAcentral
ACGCGCUGAGUCGAAUCGAGUCGGGGCGAGCCGCGCCGAGCGGUGCCGAGCGGGACCGACCGCCGGGGUCGAGCGGAGCCGAAAGCCCCCGCGGUUGGUCGCGUCGCGUCGCGUCGCGCCGCGCGUAGCGAGUAGCACCGCGCCGGAGCGUGUGUGUGCGCGCGCGCGCGUCUGUCCGCGCUUACAACUCGCUCUCCGCGCUCCUGUGCCCGCUUCACCGCGCUGCUCUCCUCCGCACCCGGCCGCGAGAGAACGGCCACACACCGCGGGAGAGUCCCGUCGUCGUUGUGUUAUCGUAUAGCUUCGCGCGUCGCCUCGCCAGCCUCGUCGACAUUGUUAUUGUUAACGUCAUCGUCAUCGCCGUCAACCUUCUCGUUUCGUCGCGCGUGUGUUGUACGCCGCGUCCCUUCCGACUGGCCCGCGCGCGUGCAUGGACGACACGCGCGCACGAGCCGACGAGGACAUAGCCCUGGAUUCGUCCCGCUUACGCUCGUCCGCUCGGCUCGGCUCCGCUGCCGCCGCCGCCGCCGCCGCUGCCGCUGCCGCUGCCGCCGUCACUGCCACCGCUGCCAGCAGCGUUGCCGCCACAACCACCACCUCCACCACCUCCUCGGCCGCCGCUGCCACUUGCCACCGCGUCGCGAGACGCAAGAGGAAGAAGAGGAGGCGUCAGCGGCUCGCUACAAGCAGCGACGACGUGCCCGUCGUGGUCGCCUCCCGCAGCGCUACCACGAGUAACGCUGCCGCCGCCGCCGCCGUCGAAACCGACGCCGACGCCGUUGUCGUCCUCGAGCCUGACGCUGUCACCGACGCCGACGCCGACCCCGACGCAAACGCAGCGACCGCCGCGGAAACGACAGACCCGGCGGCGGCGCGGGUCGAUAAACUGAGGAGCCGCCUCCUCCUCGGCGAGCAGCACACCGCCGCGGCCGCCGCGGCCGGCGGGGAAGUCCAGCAGCAGCAGCAGGUACGCGUCGGAGGAAGCGGCACGCGCGCGGCGGCCGCCUCCUCCGUCGGCACCACCGCCGGCGUCACCACGCUUCUCAACCGACGCGCCGGCAAGCGCUCGCCACGGCGAUGCAACGCCGGCGGACGUAGGAGCGCGAUGACGAUGGACCUGCAGCGGCUGAUCAACGAGGUGCACGCGAGGCCCGCGAUCUGGGACCAGAAGAACGUCAACUACCACAACCGCGACGUCAUACUGAAGAUGUGGCGGGAGAUCGCGAGGGCGUGCGAGGUGUCGACGGAUGUCGCCAAGUCCAAAUGGAAACACCUGCGCGACAACUUUCGGAACGAGCUGAAAAAGACCUACCGGGGUAAGUGCGACGGUAUCGGCGGCACCGAGCACGACUCCAAGUGGGUCUGGUUCAAGAGCCUCUUCUUCCUGCGGGACCAAAUGAAUUCGAGGGUGAUCGGCUGCGCCCUGUCGCAAAAUUGCGUUGGCGCGAUCGGUAUGCGCUCGUCUCCGGACGGCACGCAAAUCGAGCCGCAGAUCGAUAUUCUCGAGGGCCACGAGGAGACGCAGUUCGACGACCUGGACGGUGACUCUUGCCAGUCCCUGCUGUCCAACGACGAUGGCCUGCAUCAGGUGAUGCCGCCGCCGAAGAUGAACAAGAUACUCGGCCGGAAACGGGCGCUAAUGGAUGUGCUCGACAACGAUUAUGGCGUGGAGGUGGAUCGGAAACGGUACGAGUCGCUGCAGAAACGACUGGCGAUCGGGCCCGAGGAUGAGGACGACACCUACCACUUCCUCAUGAGCGUGCGGAAUCCUCUGAGAAGCCUGCCGCUCGACAGGCAGAUGUUCGUUCGUCUCAAGAUUCAGGAGUUGGUCUACAACGAGAUCAAUUCGCAGAACCAACAGCAGCAGACCGCGAGCCGUGGAACCUACGACGCCUCCUCGCAGGGCCAGGACGUGAAACCCCCGCGCGCCGGUAACGGCGGCAACGGCGUCGUCAGUGGCGACGUCGUCAGCGAUAUGUCGAAUCCUGUGUCGUUGCUGCAGAACUGCACGGCCGAGGGCACCGGUGACGAUGCCUUCUUCGGCUGAAGAGAGCCCGUUUGCAGUUUAAUUCGCUAAUAAACGUAAAGAACCACCGAGAGAAAGAGAGAGAGGGCCGCGCGGAUUAUAUAUCCCAAACUCAUUCAUCUCUGUUCCCUUCCUGAUCCUUCCAAGGCAAGAAUUCACAACGUGACGAGGUAACUUUUCGCCCGGCUAGAACGGCCGUCUAGACGAGAUGCACUGUAACACGGCAUUUUGCACCGACUUGAAUGGCUUAAUCGAAAGUCCGGCCCGCGCCUAAUGCAUCGCUUUCUCAGUUUUUCUCUACUAAAGCAGAUUAAUUACUCGGUGUGUGCGACCGCCAUCAGUCGCCUGUGCAUGUGGAUGGUUAUCUGGAGUAAGGAAACAGUCGGCGGACACCAGGAGGUCGUCGUCAUAAUCGCGCAGGAGGGAACGAGGAAACAGCGGUCACGUUAUGGUAUGUGAUGAAUUA